Capsicum annuum is the source of this 11865-nucleotide RNA transcript. RefSeq lists it as uncharacterized. The record is from RefSeq and is a predicted model, not a curated record. Lineage: Eukaryota; Viridiplantae; Streptophyta; Magnoliopsida; Solanales; Solanaceae. The transcript has 6 exons.
CUUAUAUACAUUUUUUAAACAAAACUAUCUUUCCACUUCAAUUCCCACUUAAGCCCUGAGUACUAUCUUUCCACUUCAAUUCCCACUUAAGCCCUGAGUACUCAAUACUCUCUCUCAAUAGAGUGAUGAAAGGCGGCAAUAGGGGCAAACGGGCAAUAAUGAACGGUGAACGAAGAACGGUACCCAACAACGAACUGUUGGCGGAAGUGGAGAAACUACAAUUGACCUUUGCCAUUGAAGAUCUGAGUUGAUCAUAGAUAAAAGCUGGAUGCAUGAACCAAAGUUCACUAAACGAUAUAUUGAGGGUAUCCAAUCUUUUAUACGGCUUGUUCGAUCUCACUUUGACCGAAAUACCAAAGUUUGAUGCCCAUGUAUAGAUUGCUUAAAUGUGUUUUUUCAAAUACAAGAAGUAGUGCAUGACCACUUAUUGCUCGAAGGAAUUAUGAAAAGUUAUGUGCAUUGGAGACACCAUGGGGAACAAUCACAAAUGAGAGAUAACAAUGAAGCAAUUUACAGUGAAGAUGAAAACAAAGCCCAUGAUAAGGAUGAUGGGAUUCGUACUAUGUUAGACGAGAUAGCUGAAGAAUCUUUUGGCAAUUAUUCGAAGGAGACUGGUAAUAAGGUGUGUAGUAAUAUAAGUGAGAAAGAAGCUACAACAUUUGACAAAUUGCUAAAAGAAGCUAAACGUGAAUUAUACCCGAGAUGUAAGAAAUUUUUUAAUCUUUCAUUUCUUGUAAAGUUUCUAUACGUGAAAGUAUACAAUCAGUGGAGUAAUAAAUUAUUUGAUAUGUUGUUGGAGUUUCUAAAAGAGGCAUUGCCUACUGAUGAGACAUUUCCUAAGUCAUAUUAUGAUCAGAAAAACAUGUUGCAGAGUUUGGGAUUAGGAUAUAUUUCGAUCCAUGCUUGUAAAAAUAAUUGUGUGUUUUACUAGGCUAAACAUAAAGAUAGACAAAAAUGUCCACAUUGUGGUACUUUGAGGUGGAAAAUUGACAAUGGAAAGGAUAAAAGGAUUCCUCAUAAAGUUCUGCGAUAUUUUUCAUUAAAGCCAAGACUUCAAAAGUUAAUUAUGUCUAGUAAAACAAGUGUGGACAUGAGGUGGCAUAAAGAGAAACAUCUUGAUGAGGUGAAUAUAUUAAGGCAUCCCACUGAUUCUAAAACAUGGAAAGAGUUUGACAAGAAUCAUUAGUGGUUUGCACAAGAAUCUCGUAAUAUUAGACUCGGUCAUGUAACUGAUGGUUUUAAUCUAUAUGGUAACAUGAGCACUCCAUAUAGUAUGUGGCCUAUCAUUCUAGUUCCUUAUAAUCUUUUUCCAUAGAAAUAUUUUAAGGACCUAUUUAUGAUGAUGUCAUUACUUAUUCCUGGUCCCCAAGCACCAAGAAAGGAUAUUGAUAUUUAUUUGCAUCCUUUAGUUAAUGAGUUGAAAGAGUUAUAGAGUUAUGGUGUAGAGACAUUUGAUGCAUCAACUAGGGAAUGCUUCAAAAUGCAUGCUGCUGUUUUAUGGAUCAUAAAUGACUUUCCAGCUUUUGGCAAUUUAUCUGGAUGGAGCACUAAGGAAUACAUGACAUGUCCUACUUGCAAUAAGGAUACAUCUUCACAAAGGUUAAGAGCUAAAAUUUCUUACAUGGGUCACCGUCAGUAUCUUGAAUCUAGUCACUCUUGGAGAAGAAGAAAGAAAUUUGAUGGAAAGAUAGAAAAAAAAGAAUAAAGCCAAAAGAGCUCUCAGGUGAUGAUAUCUUGCAACAAUUGGAUUUUCUCAGCACUUAUAGACCACAAAAAUGCUUAAAUAAUAAAAUAAAGAAACGUCUUCCUGAAGAGCUGAAUUGGGUGAGGAGAAGCAUUCUAUUUGAGUUGCCCUACUUGAAGAACUUGAAGUUUCAACAUAAUUUAUAUGUCAUGCACAUAAAAAAGAACAUUUGUGAGGCUAUUCUAGGGAUAUUAUUGAAUAUUGAGGGGAAAACUAAAGAUAAAUAUAAAUCAAGACAAGACCUAGAGGAUAUGAACAUAAGAAAAGAACUGUGGUUGCAACAUGAUAGUUCUAAUUAUACAAUGUCUGGUGCUUGUUAUAAUAUGUCAAAAGAAGAGAAAAAGAAGUUUUCAGCAUUGUUAAAAUCUAUUAAAUUUCCUGAUGGCUAUGCUUCAAAUAUCUCAGGGUGUGUAAAUGGGAAUGAUGGUAAGAUAACUAGACUCAAAAGUCAUGACUAUCAUAUUUUGUUACAUCGAGUGCUGCCUAUUGCUAUUCGUGGAUUUAAAAAUAAAGAUGUCUCUUUAGCAUUGAUUGAGUUAAGUGAUUUUUUCCGACGAUUAUGCUAUAAGACAUUGAGACAGGAUGACUUGGCACAACUAUAAAGGGAUAUAGUUGUUAUUUAUGUAAACUUGAAAUGAUCUUUCCACCUGCUUUUUUCGAUGUUAUGGUACAUUUGGCUGUGCAUUUACCAUAAGAGGCAAUGUAUGAGGGACCAGUACAAUAUCGUUGGAUGUACAAAAUUGAGAGGUUCUUGUGCAAGCUUAAGCAUUAUGUCUGAAACAAGGCACGACUUAAAGGUUCUAUUGCUGAAGGCUAUAUUAUUAAUGAAUGUUUGACAUUUUUCUCUAUGUAUCUUGAUGAUAUUAAGACUAGAUUUAAUCGUAAAGACAGAAAUGAUGAUGGAUCUAGCAAUAAUUAUGGGCCUAUUUUAGAAAUAUAUUUAAAAAGUGUUAGACCAUAUAAAGAUGGAGAUUAUGAUGCCAUACCAAAAAAAAAUUUUGAUAUGGCUCAGUGGUAUGUGUUGAAUAAUUGUGAAGAAGCAGAACCUUUUCUUGAGUAAGUAUUUCUUUUAUAUAUAUUUACAUAUGUUGAUAUUUUUUAUUUAAACUGUUUCUAAAUAACUUACUUUGUUACAUGCAAAGAGCAUAAAGAAGAGCUAUUGAAGCAAGGUAUUGUGUAUAUAGAAGAAAAACAUAGAGAACAAUUUUCUUCUUGGUUCAGAAGGAAAGUAAGUGACUUUAAGAGAAUAAUCAUAUUGUGUGUUUAAAUUUUAUCAUUUUAUUCUUUACUAAUUGAAAGCAAUAACUUUUCCUCAUAGAUUAUGUAGUUAUUUAAUAAGGAGAAGUCAAGGUCUAUCAUGAAAAUAUAUCCUUUGGCUAUGGGUCCUGAUGUGCGUGGAAUAAAACAUACUGGUUGUAUUGUAAAGGGUGUUAGGUACCAUUUUCAGCAACGCAAUGAAUUACGUAAAAGUUAAAAUUGCGGUAUAGCUGUUAGAGGCCUUCAUGAAAAAGUGGAGAUUGAUUUUUAUGGUAUCAUAACAGACAUCCUUGAGUUAGAGUAUGUUGAAGAAAAUUGAGUUUUCCUAUUCAAAUACAAGUGGUUUGAUCUUCGCAAAAAAAUAGGGAUGCAAGAAGAUAAAAAUUUUACGAGCAUCUGUGUUAAAAGAUUUUGGUAUGAACAUGAUCCAUUUGUACUAGCUACUCAAGCAAAGCAAUUAUUUUAUAUUGAUGACCCAAAACUGGGGGAGUAUUGGUGAGUUGUGCUCAAAUUUCAAGCUGGGAACAUAUAUGAUGUGCCUGAAAAGGAAAACUCAGAGGUUGAAAAUGAUGAGUUGCUUGUUACAAAUGUUGAAGUGUAUCAAGAUACGUCACUUGAAAGUAAAUCAAUUGUUAAUGACACAGUUGAUAUGUUGAGUCAACUAUAUAGAGAUGAUGUUGGGUCGAUUACCAUAGGUGCAAAUAUAAUUGAAUUGGUGGCUCAAACAGAAUAUAAAGUUAAAGUUCACUAUAAUGGAGAAGAUUCUGACCAAGAGGAUGACACUAUGGUUGAGUACAUCAGUGACCAUGAGGAGAAUGAAGGUAAUAAUAGUACUACUAACAAUGAAGCUGAUAGCACAGAUGACAACGACGACAUUGACUUGUGAUGUAACCUUAUAAUAAGUAAGGUCAGUUACAUACAUGUUAAUAUAUAACUCUCCUAAAUUAUUUAUAUCUUCUUUAGUUGAUUUUAGGGGGAUGAAUUUCAUAAGUUAUUUGCAGACACGCCUAUUAAGCUGAAUCUUUGUGAAGGACUUUAGGGUGAUGAUGUUGCUUACCACGCACUUGUUGGUCACAUUGGUUGUGCCUUAUUAGCCUUUUCAGAACUUGGAGAACAAGAGUUGAUUAGAGAACCCUACGUGCCAAUCCAGAUUGUAACACCCAACAUUUUUUAGCUAGAAAUUAAACCGUCGUUCUUACGUGUGUGAACUCAAAUUCCAUGGUCUUUAUUUAAAUUCAUGUGUCAUGAUCUUUCUCCUGGUAUAUUAAGUGGUUAUAAGGUGAAAAGUGUUCAUAAUAAUGGCCUAAAGCAAAGUUGAGCUAAGAACCCUUCAUUCAUCCAAAAUUAUAUAUAUAAUUUGGUAGAUUAAGACCCACCAUAUUGUAGAUAAUCGAAUUAGCUUUCCAACGAUACCUAUUUCGCCUUAAUCCAAUACCUGAGCAAAAAGUUUUGCUAUUUUUUGUGUGAGGUAGUGAGGGGUCGCGAUAGCCCCGCGGCGCGAGGUCUACUUGACCCAAAUAAGGGUCGCGUCGCAAGGGAUAUUUAUCCCAACUAGGGGUAGUGACGUGGGGGCUAUUCCCGCACAGUUUUAGCUUCUUAAGGGUCAUGGGGCACUUUGGUCCUUCCCCUCGACCCCAAACGUCCAAAGGAUGAUUUAUAUCACCCAAAAACCAUCCAUAACCCUUAAAUUCAUUCCUCAAAGGAAUAAUAUGCCUUAUUACCCAAUUCCUCUAAAAAAAAUCCAACCCUAAUCCUUUCUCCAAAGAUCAAGAACUCAUCCCUAAGAUCAAGAAUUUCAAGAAAAGGAUCAAGAUCCAGGUUUCAUCUAUCAAGAACUAGGUUCCAUCUUUCAAAUCCUGUAAUCUAAGGUACAUGGGAUUUUUCUAAAACUACUUGGGAAUAAAGAAAAUUUUCAACAACUUUUAACAUUGUGAAAACAUGAACUUUGAAGGGUUUUUAGAAUUUAUAUUACAAUGUUGCUUUAUGAAUUCAUUAAUGACAUUAUUGUUUUAGUCUUGAGGUCGUUCCCCCAAAUUGAUUUUAAAUCUUAUAUAUAUAUAUAUAUAUAUAUAUAUAUAUGUAUGUAUGUAUGUAUAUGGUUAAAGUUGAUAACUGAAUUGAGAGCAUAAUUAUUUUUACUCCCUCUCAUGUUGUAAUACCUCUUGAUUUUUAGAAUGUUAUUUAGAAGCAUGGUAUUAAUGUUCCUGACUAUUGUUGAAUGAUGUAAGAUUGAUCUUUGAAUUGAUGAGAGGGGUUUUACAUGUUGAUAAAUGUUGAAUAUAUAUAAUAAAAGAAUUGCAUAGUUUGCCAAAAAUACGUGACCACCACAUGUUUGUUGAAAUGAUUGAAAAGAAUGAUCCUUGCAUAAUUUGAUAAAUAUUUGAAGAAUGAAUCUUCUUGAAUUGUUCGAAGUAUGGUGGUCCAAACUUUAUGUUUUGAAAGAAAACAAUAUGAUAUGAUAUUUUAUGUCUUAGAAAACAUGACUCAUAACAGACACAGAAUAGAAUGGAAAUCUGAUUUCACUCAGAUUUAUAGAUUUUGAAUUCAAAAAGAUGCAUGUUCAGAAAAGGCUAAAAUUAGGCAUAAAGAGAUGUUAGGUGGUUACCCAAAGAGGAAACAUAUCAGAAAACUCAUUUCCUGAAACCGUAUUUUAUAGAUACGGGUUAUUAUGUCCCCUAGAGAGAUUAUACGCUGGCCUAGUGCCUUGUGGCAUAUCAGACUCAGACACUCCAACUCUUGCAGCAAACUUGGGUUGGGGGAUUCCUCGCCGAGUCAAUAGAGGAUUUCAUAUAGCCCGUGGAAUAUCAGACUUGUAGGAAUUUACCACCUAACUCAGAAGUAAUACAAAGAUCAGAACUGCAUAGAAAAGAAUGUUUUAUGAACAUCAAAGAACUGCCCAUGUGUUUUAAACGAUAUCAUGCAUGAUUUUUUCAUGACUUUCUCUCAUCUCUUUUAUAUAUAUAAAUGUAUUAUUUUUUAUUUCUCUAUGUACCAAUAUAAUUGUAUUGACCUCCUAUCUUUUAGGGUCUGAGGCUUAGUCUAGAGGUCCUGUUAAGCCGUAGACUUGUUUCGAAAGAAGAGAUGUGUGUGCAGUUGGUGAGCCUUCUUUAUUUUGGAAAGCCUAUUUCUUUUCUGUCAGUUGUGAUUAAUUUGGUUUAGGUCCACUGGGGCCCUUGUCCCAGAUUCAGACAAGUUAUUGAUGUCUUAUGUAGUAAAGAUUUCGCAGACUGAGAAAGAUGUUGCUUAGAUGUUAAAAAACUUAUUUUUCGUAUUAUUGAACAAAUUUUAGAUUUAUGACCAUAAUUUCGUUUAUUAUAAUUCUGUAUCUUUUAUUUAUUAUACGAGCAUUGUGCAUAAUUACCGGAUGUAGAAGGGCGGUCGGGCCUCCAUGGUUCGGGAUGCUCGUUACGGCCAGGGCCCCAGCUCUAGUCGUGACACAGAUUCUUAUCAUAGAUUUUGAUGCAGUGUAUUUAGAAGCAGUACUCUUAGUCUACAUAUUUUUGUUGCUUUUUAUUGAAUUUUAGAGCUUUGUUCGCUUAAUUUUUUUAUUUUUCUGAUGAUAUUGAUCCUAUCGUGAUUACUGAUUCAUGCUUCUAUGUCUAAUCUUUAGCUUAUUUUCUCAUAUUUGUUUUUUGGUAUGAUGAUAAUAUUAGUUAAAGGAGAGUCUUGGAGUAACCCAUAAAGUUGCUACCAUGUGAUUAGGAGGUCACGAGUUCAAGCUGUGGAAACAGUCUCUGUAAAAUGCAGGGUGAGAUUGCGUACAUAGACCCUUGAGGUCUGGCUCUUCUUAAUAGCCUGCUCAUAGUGGGAACUUUAGUGCACCAGGCUACUCUUUAUGAUAAUAUUAGUUGAGGGUGAAUAAGAAAACAUGGUCAAUGAAGAUUCGUAUAGUCGAAGCAUAACUUGUUUGGGAUUGGGGCGUAUCUAUAGUUGUUCUGUUGUGAACAUGGAUAUCCUAGAGGCAGGCCAAACUACUGGUGCCUUAUAGUUUGGUAUUUUCAUAAUUCUCUUGAAGAAUUUUAUAAGGUAACCCAAAUAGAGUCACUUUACCUUAAACUUUCGGCUACCCAAAUGUAAUUGGUUGUUACUGGACAAGAUUGUUUUCCUAUGGGAUUCUUGUUGUAUGAUAAAUGUAUUUAAAUGAACUGCAACAUUCUAUUUUUUCUCCUCUAGAGGUGUCACUUGGUUGGGUCUGAUAAUGGGGUCAUGGAGUUGUUCUUUAAGGGCUUUGCAACAUUCUACAUAUGUUGUGCAUUGUGAAGAAGAUUUCUUAUUUCGUUGUUACCUCAUGUUAUGUUAAGGUUAUCAAUUGUAAAGAUGAGAUUGUACAGGGAUAUUUGAUGGAUUAUAUUAAAGUCUUCCGUGAUUAGUACCAUUUACAAACUCUUGAUUACUUGGUGCUUGCCCGUAAUUUCAGGUUUAUCAGGUUUUUCACUUAUACCUCAUCCCAUGUAUACUGUCUUAGUUCUGUACUACUUUGUCUUUAUCCCUGGCUGUAUCUUAUUUCUGUCAAUGGGUUUCUACAAUCAUGAGAAGUUUGGGUUUGCUAUAGUGUACUAGGUUAACAUAUUCUAUAGUCCAAGGCAUGAAUGUCACCUUUUCUGGCUUAAAGGCUUCAUAGUAUAAUGAGUUUAGCUUUUGAAUUUUCGUACCUGAUUAAUUUCAUGCAAGUAUUCUUUUUAUAUUACAAUGUAUUGUCAUUUCACUAUUUUUUACCUCAAAUUUAUUCUUCUUAUCGACAAUAUGCUUUUUUCUUGUUGAACAAUUUACUAGAAUAAAUCUUCAACAAUAGCUAAUAGAUGGGAUGUGGAUCAUGAUGAUCGUCCAAAAAAUAAAAGUGAAUAUACGCCCGUUUCUCAUCGUAGAGAUUGCUUAAGGAGAAAUAUGCUUAAAUUUGUGCUCUCUUUUCAGUAUUAAGUUCUCUGUUUAUACAAGCACAGUAAUGAAUAUGUUACACUGAAAAUAUCAGUGUGUUUCAACUUUUGGCCCCCUUCUAGAGAUUCUGAUUUCUGAAAUUCAGAUAUGACUGAAAAAUAUAUUGCUAUUGAGUUUUAGUGAUUUGAUCUAAUUGGUUAGGUCCUUUCUUGGAGAUACGAUUGCAUUUACGAAAGUUAUUUAUGGCUCACCAGCUUGCUGGACUAGUGGGGUACCUUCCAGAAAGCAUACUGAAAACAAUGCCUCUUCAGAUUGAAUGCAAACAUUUACUGGUCAUGGCCUUGGCUUAGCUGCAAUAAGUUCUAAGUAAAAUGGGAUGAAUUUGCGUUGCUUUGCAUUCUUUCCAUGUACGAGUUGUACUGCAAGGCUUUGAGCUUCUCAAACUAACACUUGAAUUAAUGCUUCUUUAAAGAAUGGAAAUAAGACUUUUUGGAUGUAAAAAGUUUACACAUGUCAAAACUGUUAUGCUUUCUGCUUGUUAAUCUCUGCUAUCUUUACAUGGCUGAUGGUGACAUGAUACUGAGGUUAUUAAAGGAUUUAAUAGCCUUCAUUGACCCGUUAAUUAUUCUUUUUUAGAAAAAAUGAAGAAACAGAGGUUAUGUGAAGAAUUCACUGAAUAUCCUGAGAUAGUAUUCCAAGAAAUUUUUGGUAAUAAGUGGGACACUUGGUCUUUUAGGCCUGAUAAAUCAUUUACUUUUGAAGAUCUUUUCUCUCGUAGACAAGAAAUAGACUGGUAAGAAAAAAGCCAUUGCAGAUGGGAUUAUGAAACUUUAUAAUUAAGACUAAGACGGAAUCCAACUAUGAAUCGUGUAAUGUGUAGGGUCUUCCUCUGAAAGAGUAGUUCUCAGUUUGCCUCCACGAGGUCCCCUAAAUAUGAGAAUGUCAAGAAUGCAUAAGUUUUAUAAGAUUUGUUCCCUCCAUACUCUUAUGUAUAUUUGAAGACUAAUGGAAACACUAUUAAGGCUAGGGCCAGUGGUAGAUUUCCUUCUUAAAAAUCAAAAUACAAGUGAUCCUUACCAGUAUCACAUUAUUUUAGGGUCAGUGGAGAUUCUCCAUAGGUAACACUUAUUCCACAUUAUGAUUGGGACAACAAGAUCUUUUAGAAGCUUUGUUACUGAUUGCUGAUUUAAUUCGUGUAGGUUAUUGGAUACAUAGAAGAAGAUGAUCGCAAUAAAUUUAGAUUUGACGGGGACAUUACACUCGAGAGGAUUAAGGUAGACUGUGAUAAAUAGUUGUUAGGUGCACAAAAUUUUGGUUAGGAAGUUCUAAACUAACAUGCUUAUUUUCUUUUCAUUCCUCAAGUAUUUAAUGAGGACUUUCUAGACGAUAAGCUCAAACCUUUCUAUAAAUUAGAUCUAGUUCCUGAGACUGUAAGCUACAGUUUCCUUCUGGCCUUUGACUCAUCAUAGUUCAUGUGUUGAUAUCUAUAAUUAUCGCAGAAUGAUGCUGAUGUGAAAAUCAUCAUUGGGAAUAAUUUUGAUGAAAUUGUUUUAAAUGAGUCAAAAGACGUGCUUCUUAAGGUAUGUUUAAGAAGUGAAUUUUCUUCCAGUGGUUUUCGUAAUCAACUGAAGUCAUCUAAGUUUAAGCAUGCACUUCAACAUCUUUUUUGUUAGAUCUAUGCACCAUGGUGUAGGCACUGCCAAGCUUUGGAAUCAAUAUUCAAUAAACUAGCACAUCACUUAAAUGGCGAUGAGUCUCUUGUUAUAGCCAAAAUGGAUGGAAUAAGAAACGAGCACCCCCGCUCUAAGGCAGUUUACAAUUAAUAAGUGGUUUAGCUUUAUCAUCAAGUUUUUUUAAUUUAUGAUCCUUUGUAGUUUAAAGGAUUCCUAAGUCUCCAAUUCUUUCCAGUAGGCAAUAAGAGCAGUGAUCUAGUAAGUUAAGUUUAUUUUGUUUGUGCUUGUGAACAAAGCAAGAUGCCAAAUGUUCAUGUGAUUCUACAGAUAUCCAACUUGUUUAAGACUGAGGCGUGGUUAUUAUUGUAUUUUACCCUACAGAUCCUGGUUCACUCUGAAGCUACUCUGUGGCAUUGUAUAAGUUUAUCAAGAAACAUGCAGUUAUCCCUUUCAAGCUUCAAAGACCAGCUUCUUGUAUUUUCUAAACUCAUGUUUUUUUUAUUACAUGGGAUGCCUUAUUGUGCGUCAAUCUUUGCAGAUUGAGAACAUAUGCCUAAGCACCAAAGCAUCUGUUAUUCUAAUUAUACCAGAUUCAGAAGGUCUCGAGAGAUAGUUCCUUUUUAGUUUCUGCUUUGAUAAUCUGCUAUGAUGUUUCUAAUGUAAGUUUACUUUAAUUUAUGAAAAACUGGAGCAAUUGAUUUGAUAGUUCACCCAAUGGCUUUUUAUUUUGCAUUCUUACUAUGUGAUUUGUGUUAUUGACAAUUCUUGUUCUUGCAAAGUGAAUAAUUAUGUUCGAUUCAUAUAGAACUCUGACUUUGCAGUUGUCUUAUCUGUUUUGCUUAUAGUGGUGAACCCUCAUCAUUUUGUUAUAUGCUUUAUUUCUUAGAGAUAGACAGAUACUUCUCAACUGCACUCCUGGCAUUGCAGUUGUGUUAUAUUUUUACUUAGGAGUGGUGAAGCUCUGUAUCAUCUUGUUAUAUGUUUUGUUUCUUAGAGAUAAAUGGUAGGCUAAUUUGCUUCAUAGUGCUUGCACAAAUGAUGUUUAACGUUACCUUUCUUUAUGAUCAGUGGUGAUGGUAGCGGUAGUAAGAAUUGCUUGUUAAAAAGUUUAUUUGCUUGUUUCUUGAGUCAUACUCAUCUUAGUUACUAUAUGUCUAAUCAUGCAGGAACUGAAAUCAAUCUAUUCUCUAUUGAUGCACUUAUAGUUUUCAUAUUUUGAGUACUUCACCGUGUUAAUCAUCCGGUGUUAAACUCCUUAUGUUACUCUGUUCUUGUUAAAUUCUCUUCACUCAUUUACUCCAUUCAACUUGGAUAUUGAUGCCUUAAAUCCUCUCUUUUUUGCUUGAUCCUAAAGGUAAAUCUUGAUAAGUCAUCACCAAAUGCUGGUUAUGUGAUGCUAAUAUUUGAUCAAUUUUAUGAUGGAAAUGUACACAGUCUUAUUCAGCUAACAAGAUUAUCUGAGUUCUUUCUCCGGUAUUUCAUUAGUCAUAGAAAGUAAAUAUAUAAGGCAUCUAUAUCUGAUUCUGUUGGUACACUUUCAGUCAGAGUCAUUAGGAGUUCGACAGUGAGCUUAUUGAACAUUUUGGCUCAUUUGUCAAAAUGCCUCUACUGAAACCUGAAAGAAAUCCUCCUCACAAGAUGAGUCAGAAUGUGUCCAGGUAGCAGCUGAAGAGAAAUUCAAAUCUUGUGUCACUACAUACAAGUCAUUGUGCAAUACAUUCUCCCCAACUUAAUAUUGGUUGGGCUUUCCUCACCUCUUGAACUAGAUAUUGGGUUAAGUAAGAUAUGAAGUUAGAAGUUAUAACACUGAGGUUGAUAUCUGGUUCAGCAAGGCAAUUGGUCGACCUUGCACUCUAUUAAGGAAUUCCGGUUCCUCUGCAUAGAUAAGAAUGGCAAUCCUGGCAUGUGCAGGGAUGUUGGUGCUAGAUUGAAUUUUGUUAACGAUGCCCAGUUUCUGCUGGUAUAUGAAGAAAGCAUAGCUGACCUCAACUCUAGGUUGAAAUCAAGAACUGGCAGUUCUACUCUUCCUAUAUAGUGAUUAACUCAGGGAUGAAUAUUUGGAUUGAAGUGGUGAGCUUCCAUCCUUUCCAAAGGCUCUAUUUCAUGUUAUGGAUAUUCUUAGACAUUUUGAUAUUAUUUUGCAUAUUGGUUUUGGCUAUGGUUGGGGGCAUGUCCCAACCAGACUUUAUUACUCUUUUUGUUAGAGGCUUUGCGCUACUGCUAUGGGUUAGAAUGGGUGAUUGGGCUAACAUCAUUGGACAUAAUUUCUUAUUAUUCCAUCAUAUUUUAUUUUGGUAUUAAUUAUAUUAUGUUUUG